Molecule: ribosomal RNA, 348 nt
Filed under: uncultured bacterium
Lineage: Bacteria
Description: partial 16S ribosomal RNA
Rfam family: Bacterial small subunit ribosomal RNA
Source: RNAcentral
CCUACGGGAGGCAGCAGUGAGGAAUAUUGGUCAAUGGGCUUACGCCUGAAUCAGCCAAGUCGCGUGAGGGAAGACUGCCCUAUGGGUUGUAAACCUCUUUUGUCAGGGAGCAAAUGGCGCUACGUGUAGCGUUAUCGAGAGGACCUGAAGAAAAAGCAGCGGCGAACUCCGUGCCAGCAGCCGCGGUAAGACGGAGGAUCCGUGCGUUAUCCGGAUUUAUUGGGUUGAAAGGGAGCGUAGGGGGAUUGUUAAGGCAGUUGUGAAAGUUUGCGGCUCAACCGUAAAAUUGCCGUUGAAACUGGCAGUCUUGCGUACAGUCGCGGUGGGCGGAAUUCGUGGUGUAGCGGU